Molecule: ribosomal RNA, 427 nt
Filed under: uncultured bacterium
Lineage: Bacteria
Description: bacterial SSU rRNA
Rfam family: Bacterial small subunit ribosomal RNA
Source: RNAcentral
UGGGGAAUUUUGGACAAUGGGCGCAAGCCUGAUCCAGCCAUGCCGCGUGCAGGAUGAAGGCCUUCGGGUUGUAAACUGCUUUUGUACGGAACGAAAAGGUGCCUUCUAAUAAAGGGCGCUCAUGACGGUACCGUAAGAAUAAGCACCGGCUAACUACGUGCCAGCAGCCGCGGUAAUACGUAGGGUGCGAGCGUUAAUCGGAAUUACUGGGCGUAAAGCGUGCGCAGGCGGUUUUGUAAGACAGAGGUGAAAUCCCCGGGCUCAACCUGGGAACUGCCUUUGUGACUGCAAGGCUGGAGUGCGGCAGAGGGUGAUGGAAUUCCUCGUGUAGCAGUGAAAUGCGUAGAGAUGUGGAGGAAUACCGAUGGCGAAGGCAGCCCCCUGGGAUGAUACUGACGCUCAUGCACGAAAGCGUGGGGAGCAAACA